CUCCUCUGACGUUAGCGGCGGACGGGUGAGUAACACGUGGAUAACCUACCUAUAAGACUGGGAUAACUUCGGGAAACCGGAGCUAAUACCGGAUAAUAUAUUGAACCGCAUGGUUCAAUAGUGAAAGACGGUUUUGCUGUCACUUAUAGAUGGAUCCGCGCCGCAUUAGCUAGUUGGUAAGGUAACGGCUUACCAAGGCAACGAUGCGUAGCCGACCUGAGAGGGUGAUCGGCCACACUGGAACUGAGACACGGUCCAGACUCCUACGGGAGGCAGCAGUAGGGAAUCUUCCGCAAUGGGCGAAAGCCUGACGGAGCAACGCCGCGUGAGUGAUGAAGGUCUUCGGAUCGUAAAACUCUGUUAUUAGGGAAGAACAAAUGUGUAAGUAACUAUGCACGUCUUGACGGUACCUAAUCAGAAAGCCACGGCUAACUACGUGCCAGCAGCCGCGGUAAUACGUAGGUGGCAAGCGUUAUCCGGAAUUAUUGGGCGUAAAGCGCGCGUAGGCGGUUUUUUAAGUCUGAUGUGAAAGCCCACGGCUCAACCGUGGAGGGUCAUUGGAAACUGGAAAACUUGAGUGCAGAAGAGGAAAGUGGAAUUCCAUGUGUAGCGGUGAAAUGCGCAGAGAUAUGGAGGAACACCAGUGGCGAAGGCGACUUUCUGGUCUGUAACUGACGCUGAUGUGCGAAAGCGUGGGGAUCAAACAGGAUUAGAUACCCUGGUAGUCCACGCCGUAAACGAUGAGUGCUAAGUGUUAGGGGGUUUCCGCCCCUUAGUGCUGCAGCUAACGCAUUA
Molecule: ribosomal RNA, 795 nt
Filed under: uncultured Staphylococcus sp.
Lineage: Bacteria; Bacillati; Bacillota; Bacilli; Caryophanales; Staphylococcaceae
Description: SSU rRNA
Rfam family: Bacterial small subunit ribosomal RNA
Source: RNAcentral